This 118-nucleotide ribosomal RNA is filed under the name Anolis carolinensis (green anole). Lineage: Eukaryota; Metazoa; Chordata; Lepidosauria; Squamata; Anolidae. The record is from RNAcentral.
CUACCUGUGCAUUCUACAUUGAAAAAACAUUGAUCCUGUCUGAUCUUGAAAGCAAAGCAAGGCAAGGCCUGAUUAAUAUUUGGAUGGGAGGCCAUCUGUAAACACCAAGUCUGGUAGA